RNAcentral lists this ribosomal RNA (253 nucleotides) under uncultured bacterium. RNAcentral describes it as "partial 16S ribosomal RNA". It matches the Rfam family "Bacterial small subunit ribosomal RNA", at positions 524 to 776 of the family's 1533-position model. The record is from RNAcentral.
UACGUAGGGGGCAAGCGUUGUCCGGAUUUAUUGGGCGUAAAGAGCGUGUAGGCGGCCAUACAGGUCAGCUGUGAAAACUCGAGGCUCAACCUCGAGACGUCGGUUGAAACCGUAUGGCUAGAGUCCGGAAGAGGAGAGUGGAAUUCCCGGUGUAGCGGUGAAAUGCGCAGAUAUCGGGAAGAACACCAACGGCGAAAGCACUCUGCUGGGCCGACACUGACACUGAGAGACGAAAGCUAGGGGAGCGAAUGGG